GUAGAAACAUUAACAAGUAAUUUAAAAUUCCUUCUUCUUUCAGACCAUAUCAUCUUACUAGAAAGCUGUACAUCUAUGGACUAUAUUAUUGCUGAGAAGACGUAAUGUCUGCCUGAUACACUCUUAAAAUGUUCAUCAUAGAUGCAAGUUUACUUUGGAACCUAGAGACCAUAAUCAGAAAUGUUCCACAUGCAAUUAAGAUAAUACUAAGAGCAAUAAAAACUGGGAAAGCAAGCAAUCUAGAAAUAAUCGUUCGUAAUAUCUAGGGGAAGAUUUUUCCUUCUAGCACAGCCUUACAACCAUGCAAGACCAGGUGUGCUAUGUGGCUAACUGUACUUGGGCUGAUUAUAAAGGCAUCUCCCUUUGCAGAUACACAGAUGGAGUGUCCACCACAGCACAUGUGCUCUUGAAAGAACCCCUGGCCUCUGUCUAUCCUGUCAUUUAAGUUUUUAAGAAGAUCCUCAGCUGCUAUCCACACUGUAAGCCUCAAACAGGUGCUAAAAAGAGCCUUAGCCUGAGCCACUGAGGGCACAAUGAUUUCCCUGAACGAAAGGCGCAGAAGGAAGCCCUACAUUUGGCUGCAGGAGAACUUGGUAUCUUUGAUCGUUCAUGACCCAUUAAUUACAUAUUUUUUAACUUACAUAAAUCAUCAAACAUUUUAUCAUUAACUUAAAAUAUUUACAAGCAAGGCGUUGUGAACUCUUUGCAAUGAAAGGGGAAAUAUAAUUUUAAAGUAUUUAUUGCUAAAAACUGCUAUUAUUGCAAUCACAGGAUUACUUUUGCAUUUAGUUUUCUGGUCUGUCUCUCCCAAAAGAAUGCCUGCUAGUGGUAUUGAGAGAAUGUUCUGCAGCUUUAUUGCCAUGGUUUUUAAAGUGCUACAAGUUUUUUCGCUUCGCAUUCAUAUUUUGUUUCCUCUUCUUGAGCUCUCACAGGAAAUCUGGCAAAGAUUGUGAUGCAGGAUCAGCAGAACUCCCUAUUUUGUUUGUCUGCUUUUCUUCUUUUUUUUUUUUUUUUUUUUUGCUGACAAGCAAAGUUCAGAGAAAUGCAGCUUACAAUUUGGAGAGCUGCAUAAAACUCUGGUGGUUAAAGAGGGAUGUAGGAGCUUCUCAUCUGUUCCACUACGACACACUGACUGCAGGCUCUACUGGGAGUGCUACAACCCCCUUAAAUCCUAUUCCAGUAAAACUACAUUUAAGACUGCUAUAUGCUCAAUAUUGCUACAAGGGUCCUCAUAGAGGUGGAAAGAUGAACGACCAGCCAUGCAAACAUCUGUUGACUGGAAAGAAGUUCAGGCAUGCCAUGACGACUAUUUCUUCUCAGGACCAGGACUCAGUCACUUUUCAAGUUCCACAAGUUGAGCCAAUACUUUCGGAACAAGAAGAACAUGAUAUGAAGACAUUUUGGUGUAAGAAUUCUCACAAUGUUCAUCCAAGCACAUGUAAACAUUUAAAAUAAAGGCAAUUUCAUA
Molecule: long non-coding RNA, 1468 nt
Filed under: Struthio camelus australis
Lineage: Eukaryota; Metazoa; Chordata; Aves; Struthioniformes; Struthionidae
Description: lncRNA (ENSSCUG00000008369.1)
Source: RNAcentral